Meleagris gallopavo (turkey) is the source of this 2521-nucleotide non-coding RNA. The record is from RefSeq and is a predicted model, not a curated record. NCBI's taxonomy places the organism in Eukaryota, Metazoa, Chordata, Aves, Galliformes, Phasianidae.
ACACUCCCCUAGGAAAUGACUCGAUUUUUUUCCCAUAAGCCUUAAAUCUACUAGCCCAUAUUUUAAAGUUAAAGUAUUCUCAAAUACCGUGGAAAGCUUGCAGUCUUCAGAUUUUUCAUCAGCCUCUUAAAUAAUUACUGUAGUAGCUGGGGUUUGCCCAUUUUCAUAGUUCAAAUACAUAUACAAGGUAUUUAUCUGCUUGUUUAAAAUUGCAACAGGAAAAACAGAGCAUCUAAGUCAUUUCAUUUUAACUAUAUGUAACUAUGCUGAGACCACUUACUAUUUUUUUAAUAUCUCUUUUAUAAGGUUUUAAUGCUUUGCUACUGCUGAAGUAUCCCUAGUUGUCCCAGGAAAAGUGUGAAAAUAGCAUCUGCCCAUGUGGGCUUUCCACAUGCAUUCAGAAGUCCCUGAGAGCUGCUUGUUUAUCCUUCGUGGCCACCUGGGUGCAGACUCAAAUCUCAUCAGCACCCAAGCCAGUUUACUGGUCUUAAUCUUAAAUUCCUGGUGGACAGUUGUCCUUGCAGAAAGAUACUGUGCAACACAUUUGAUGAUAUCUGGAUAGGAGACAUCUGAGAUUAGUGAAUCUGAGGCACGAAUUUCUCUUCCACCAAGACCUCAUGCGAUCUAUCUGUAUCUACCUCUCUUAAUCUCCCAGUCUCACAUCUAUCUCUCUGUACCAGAUGCUGGCUUAGUCCUAUUGUAAAUGGGGCACUGAACUGUACACCCACCAAAUGGAUCAAAUAAAAUGCCUGUAUCACACCAGAUGACAAUUUGGAAGGACUGUCAGUGAAUUUAUCCCCACCAUGACCUGCUGGUAUCAAGUCCCAAAUCAGGCUGUGGCCCGGAAAUACAGUAAAUCUAACUUCACAUCUUCUAGUGAUGGAUAAAAAAUGCUAUGCAACUUCAAUAUGAAGUUAUUCUGUCGGUAGAAAAUUAGGACAUCAUGAAAUACUAACAAGUUUGAAUGGUCGGGAUUUAUACCAGCUUAGGUAUUUUCUCUUCAGCUGCAGUCAGUAUUGCAAUCUGUAUUCCACAGAGGGAUGGUGAAGGAUUCACGGCAGGUCGCGUUGUCACCGAUGUGAUAUGUGGCUGCAUAGAGCUCUCAGUAACUGCAGAUGACAAAAGUCACAUAUAGCAAGCAAAGGCACACAAGAAAGCAUGCAGGGAUUUUGGGAAGAGGAGGCCAUGAUCUUCCCACCUUUCACCAUGCAAAGUCACAGAAGUGCUUUGCAGAAGUUUGGAUACGAGUCCUGUGCUGCAAAACCAGCUGCCUUCAGCACCGAUGUUCCUGUGCUAGCUUCACCCUACCACUAGCGAGCGUUCUGAAGUCAAGCACGCUGCCAGAAGCAGCAGCACCCAUUGACAUUCACUGACCCUUGCUGAAGGUUUAUGGAGACCAAACAGUGGAUGUGAGCACGGUGAGGAGGUGGGUGGCGCUUUGCUGAAGCAGUGACAGCAAUGUGAAAGGCAUGCCAUGUUCCAUCUUCCAGAUGUGCAGAUUUUUACGAGUGCAGCAUGCAGGCUCUUGCUCAUCUCUGGCAAAAAUUCAUAGUUAAUGGUGGUGAUUAUGUUGAGAAAAAGUGUUUAGUAGAUGAGAAUUUGCUCUAUCAAAUAGCAUUAUUGUGCUCUCUGUAUCUGUUGUAGUUUUCAUGGAAAUACAUAGGAGGCAUCAUUUUCAGAGCAACCUACUUAUAUUUGGCAACCAGAUGUUUUCCCCUUUUCAAAACAGUAGCUAGUAUGAGCAUAAAUGGGAUCUAAAUUACUUUCAUUUAGAUAUGGCUUUCUGUAUACGCUGUGUGCAGUACUGCUUGGUGCAUAAUCACAAUAAAGAUAACAUCAUGGUGUUUGCAACCAAUAAAUUUAUAUCUCAUCUUUACGAGAUGUGCUUAAAAAAUAAAAUAAAAUGAAAAUAUAACUUAAAUCUCUUUAUUUCAUUUUGGUUAUUCAGUCUGUCAAAGAUUCCUUGGUGAAGAGAAUGCUGUAAAAAUAGAAACUGCAAGGCUAAGAAGUUUUACUUCAUGGCUUCAUAGGCAGGGAAGAUACAGCAGAGGCAGAAUGGUAGCCAAUGCUCACACGGUUCUGGGAUCUUGAUUUUGAACAGAAAUAAAUAAGUACUCAUGAAAAGCCAUAGAUGUAGUGGAAUGUUAGAGUGAAGAAUUGAAAGUCUGAGGACACUGUACAAGUGAAUUUAAGAAGGCUGAUGGGUACUUUUCAUUUUUGUAGAUGAAACAGAAGAAAUUUAUAUGCAGAAAGCAUAUACAUAUAAAUAAGAUUCAUAUCAUCACUAGAUGAGAGAACCCUACUUAUCUUUCAUCAUAUACAGCUUCCUGACUACCCACACCGUGGCCCAGGCUUAAAUAAGAUCAGCUAAUGUAUGGAAAACACGAAACUAAAGAAACAAUGCUGGUAAACAGACAAGAGCUUUGUGGAGAAUUUAUAGCCAUGACAUUGUUUCCUGCCUCUAAACAUAUAUAUAUAGAUAACAUUUGGUCAGUGCAGAUCAAUGUUCAGAAGAGCUUCU